RNAcentral lists this non-coding RNA (93 nucleotides) under Schistosoma margrebowiei. RNAcentral describes it as "Eukaryotic large subunit ribosomal RNA". It matches the Rfam family "Eukaryotic large subunit ribosomal RNA", at positions 2892 to 2984 of the family's 3401-position model. The record is from Rfam by way of RNAcentral. Lineage: Eukaryota; Metazoa; Platyhelminthes; Trematoda; Strigeidida; Schistosomatidae.
UCAUCACUUACUGAUGACAACAUUUUGAAGCGUUGGAUUGUUCACUCACUAAUAGGGAACAUGAGUUGGGUUUAGACUGUCGUGAGACAAGUU